UGGGGAAUUUUGCACAAUGGGGGAAACCCUGAUGCAGCGACGCCGCGUGAUUUAGAAGGCCUUCGGGUUGUAAAAAUCUUUUUUACGGGAUGAAAAUGACAGUACCGUAAGAAUAAGGUCCGGCUAAAUACGUGCCAGCAGCCGCGGUAAUACGUAUGGACCGAGCGUUGUCCGGAAUCAUUGGGGGUAAAGGGUACGUAGGCGGCCUAGUAAGUUAGAAGUGAAAUAAUAUAGCUCAACUAUAUAAAGCUUUUAAAACUGCUAGGCUUGAGAGAUGGAAGGGAAAGUGGAAUUCCUAGUGUAGCGGUGAAAUGCGCAGAUAUUAGGAAGAAUACCGGUGGCGAAGGCGACUUUCUGGUCAUCAUCUGACGCUGAGGUACGAAAGCGUGGGUAGCAAACAGG
This 402-nucleotide ribosomal RNA is filed under the name bacterium. Its description in RNAcentral is "partial 16S ribosomal RNA". It matches the Rfam family "Bacterial small subunit ribosomal RNA", at positions 355 to 776 of the family's 1533-position model. The record is from RNAcentral.